AUUAACGCUGGCGGUAGGCUUACACAUGCAAGUCGAGCGCGAAAGCCCCUUCGGGGGCAAGUAGAGCGGCGGACGGGUGAGUAACGCGUAGGAAUCUGCCUGAUAGUGGGGGAUAACUCGGGGAAACUCGAGCUAAUACCGCAUACGCCCCAUGGGGGAAAGUGGGGGACCUUCGGGCCUCGCGCUAUCAGAUGAGCCUGCGUCGGAUUAGCUUGUUGGUAGGGUAAUGGCCUACCAAGGCGACGAUCCGUAGCUGGUCUGAGAGGAUGAUCGGCCACACUGGGACUGAGACACGGCCCAGACUCCUACGGGAGGCAGCAGUGGGGAAUAUUGGACAAUGGGGGAAACCCUGAUCCAGCCAUACCGCGUGUGUGAAGAAGGCCUUCGGGUUGUAAAGCACUUUCAGUAGGGAGGAAAAGGUUCCGGCUAAUAUCCGGAAUCCCUGACGUUACCUACAGAAGAAGCACCGGCAAACUCCGUGCCAGCAGCCGCGGUAAUACGGAGGGUGCAUCGCGUUAAUCGGAAUUACUGGGCGUAAAGCGCGCGUAGGCGGCUUGGCAAGCUGGAUGUGAAAGCCCUGGGCUCAACCUGGGGAACUGCACCCAGAACUGCUUGGCUAGAGUAUGGUAGAGGGUAGUGGAAUUUCCGGUGUAGCGGUGAAAUGCGUAAAUAUCGGAAGGAACACCAGUGGCGAAGGCGGCUACCUGGACCAAUACUGACGCUGAGGUGCGAAAGCGUGGGGAGCAACAGGAUUAAAUACCCUGGUUAGUCAUGCCGUAA
Molecule: ribosomal RNA, 780 nt
Filed under: uncultured bacterium
Lineage: Bacteria
Description: bacterial SSU rRNA
Rfam family: Bacterial small subunit ribosomal RNA
Source: RNAcentral